CCUACGGGAGGCAGCAGUGAGGAAUAUUGGUCAAUGGACGAGAGUCUGAACCAGCCAAGUAGCGUGAAGGAUGACUGCCCUAUGGGUUGUAAACUUCUUUUAUAUGGGAAUAAACUGUGCCACGUGUGGCUUUUUGUAUGUACUUUAUGAAUAAGGAUCGGCUAACUCCGUGCCAGCAGCCGCGGUAAUACGGAGGAUCCGAGCGUUAUCCGGAUUUAUUGGGUUUAAAGGGAGCGUAGGUGGAUUGUUAAGUCAGUUGUGAAAGUUUGCGGCUCAACCGUAAAAUUGCAGUUGAAACUGGCAGUCGUGAGUACAGUAGAGGUGGGCGGAAUUCGUGGUGUAGCGGUGAAAUGCUUAGAUAUCACGAAGAACUCCGAUUGCGAAGGCAGCUUACUGGACUGCAACUGACACUGAGGCUCGAAAGUGUGGGUAUCAAACAGGAUUAGAUACCCGUGUAGUC
RNAcentral lists this ribosomal RNA (460 nucleotides) under uncultured bacterium. Its description in RNAcentral is "partial 16S ribosomal RNA". It matches the Rfam family "Bacterial small subunit ribosomal RNA", at positions 338 to 795 of the family's 1533-position model. The record is from RNAcentral.